RNAcentral lists this ribosomal RNA (955 nucleotides) under Acinetobacter radioresistens. Its description in RNAcentral is "bacterial SSU rRNA". It matches the Rfam family "Bacterial small subunit ribosomal RNA", at positions 56 to 1004 of the family's 1533-position model. The record is from RNAcentral. Lineage: Bacteria; Pseudomonadati; Pseudomonadota; Gammaproteobacteria; Moraxellales; Moraxellaceae.
UGCAGUCGAGCGGAUGAAGGUAGCUUGCUACCGGAUUCAGCGGCGGACGGGUGAGUAAUGCUUAGGAAUCUGCCUAUUAGUGGGGGACAACGUUCCGAAAGGAGCGCUAAUACCGCAUACGUCCUACGGGAGAAAGCAGGGGACCUUUGGGCCUUGCGCUAAUAGAUGAGCCUAAGUCGGAUUAGCUAGUUGGUAGGGUAAAGGCCUACCAAGGCGACGAUCUGUAGCGGGUCUGAGAGGAUGAUCCGCCACACUGGGACUGAGACACGGCCCAGACUCCUACGGGAGGCAGCAGUGGGGAAUAUUGGACAAUGGGGGGAACCCUGAUCCAGCCAUGCCGCGUGUGUGAAGAAGGCCUUUUGGUUGUAAAGCACUUUAAGCGAGGAGGAGGCUACCUAGAUUAAUACUUUAGGAUAGUGGACGUUACUCGCAGAAUAAGCACCGGCUAACUCUGUGCCAGCAGCCGCGGUAAUACAGAGGGUGCGAGCGUUAAUCGGAUUUACUGGGCGUAAAGCGUGCGUAGGCGGCCAAUUAAGUCAAAUGUGAAAUCCCCGAGCUUAACUUGGGAAUUGCAUUCGAUACUGGUUGGCUAGAGUAUGGGAGAGGAUGGUAGAAUUCCAGGUGUAGCGGUGAAAUGCGUAGAGAUCUGGAGGAAUACCGAUGGCGAAGGCAGCCAUCUGGCCUAAUACUGACGCUGAGGUACGAAAGCAUGGGGAGCAAACAGGAUUAGAUACCCUGGUAGUCCAUGCCGUAAACGAUGUCUACUAGCCGUUGGGGCCCUUGAGGCUUUAGUGGCGCAGCUAACGCGAUAAGUAGACCGCCUGGGGAGUACGGUCGCAAGACUAAAACUCAAAUGAAUUGACGGGGGCCCGCACAAGCGGUGGAGCAUGUGGUUUAAUUUCGAUGCAACGCGAAGAACCUUACCUGGCCCUUGACAUACAGAGAACUUUCCAGA